AGAAAAGGACCAUGAUGCAAAGGCCAUGAGAUGUUCCCAUCCAUGUGACAUGAUUGCACAUAUACCAUAAGGCAAGGAGUCACAAGAAUGCCUCACGGGAUAACAUGGAUCAUAAUUUAUUGGAAUCAGUGACGCUAACAACUCUGGGCAAUUCCACAAUCCGGUAAAACACAAGGAUAAUACCAGAGACUUCAAAUGCUGCUGUCUGGGAUAGCAGACUGUCUGUUGCAACUCAGCAGUAGCGACGGAACUUCAUAUGGCCCUCUCCCACCUGCAGCAUCAUGGCUGACUGUGCCGAGAAAAGGCCCUGUAGCAAUGCUGGCUGUUCAUGCAGAGCCAUGGAGCCUCAAGGGUGGUACAGUGGCAACUGGCAGUGCGGAAGAUUGCAUACAACCCAACUCAAUCUCUCCAACUCUCUGGACAGGAUUAGAUCUCACAAUUUCAUUGUUACCAAAUAAGCCCAGCAGAUACUAAAACAUGCAUACUGCAAAUGUCUUCUCUGGGGUCCAGUGAAUGAAAACUUCCCUCACAAGUAAGCAGUAUAUAGCAUUCAAACAGUAAUCGAACUCUGUGAUACAAAAGCCACACAGGAUAAAAUGCAAAUAUUACAAAUCCUCUCUGGUACAUCAAAUCUAUGUGGAGUUGGGAUACGUUACGAAGACAUACCCUCAUUAUGACCAUGAGACAUAGGAGCAGAAUUAGGUCAUUUAACCCAUCAUGUGUACUCCAGCAUUUUACCAUGGGUGAUUUAUUAUUCCUGUCAACCCCACUCUCCUGCUUUCUCCCUGUAGCCAUUAACACCUUUACUAAUCAAGAACCUAUCAAUGUCCAUAUUAAAUAUACACAAUGACUUGGCUUCCACAGCCACCUGUGGCAAUGAAUACCACAAAUUCACCACUCCCGGUUAAAGAAAUUCCUCUUCAUUUCUGUUCUAAAGGGACGUCCCUCUAUUCUGAGACUGUACCCUCUGGUCCUAGACUCACUCAUUAUAGAAAAUAAAUAAUAGAUCGGCUCUUUUCCAAAUCUUAUAUAUGCCCAAUAAGUUUCUUUUCCAUUCGGUCCAUACACUGAUUGUCUGGGGCAUAUGUCAUCCAUGAUUAUAAUGUGUAUCAUACAUAUUCUUUAAUUUUGACUACAGCCUUGUUUUCAUAGGUUUGGAAUAGAUAGAUAUAUUUAUCCACUGGAUUUUGAGAUUUGAGUGAGCGAUAGGAGUCUCCUUGACAUUUGAGGUCUUUCUUUUGCAAUUUUGUCCAUUUAUACAUUAAAACUGAAAGAAGUAACUUUGCCAAUGAUUAAAAAGAUUUGGAAACAGAGUCCGAAGUCACAAAACUCCCACAUGUAAACCAUAGGAUGCAUGGUAUAAAUAUUUAUUACAUAUGUAUAAACAAAAUGCACUGUACAGUCAAGAAUGCAGGAUAGUAAAGUGUUUUUUGAUUGAAAAAAAAGUUGACCUUUUUGUCCUGGAGAGCGUGAGUUAGUCCAUUCAAAGUGAGGUCAGCGAAGAUAAGUAAUGGAAAUGUUACUGAGUGUUGGUAGUUAUACAGAACUGGUCUUUAAAACUGUUUGAGAAGGAGAUGCUGUUCUCCUUUUAUACACUAUGUCCAUUCAGAAAUGAAACAAUGGGUGCCUUCACCCGUUCAAAUACAGACUUUACAUCUGCCAAUACUGCCUGAAGUACAGAAGGAAUUGAUUUAGCAUUCUUAACUAAUGCAGGUCACUUCUUCAGCCAGUUCCAGACCCAGAGAUACUGAUUCCCAGAUGUUGGCAUUCUCAGACAGCCAUUCUGCCAAUUCCAUGAAUAAAGUAAUAAGACGACACACUAUAAAAUGUAGUCCAUAUGCUUCAGCCUCAUUUUGUAGGAUACAGGUGCAUGUCUUUGUGUGUUACCCUCUCUGUAACUGACUGCUACUGAAUUUGUAAAUCAUGUAGAUUUCUCUACCUUGAUGAGAUGUCUCAUUUAUUAAACAGCACCAAAUCACAGCCAACAACAAUGGAGGAUACUACUCAAUAUUCUGAAACAACACAGUCAAAUUUAAAAAUCACCAAUCCCAAACCAUUAACUAGUAAUGCCAAACAAUGUGCUGGAGGAACUCAGUGGCUCAUGCAGUGCCUGAGGGAGGAAAGCAACUGGGCACGUUCUGGGUCAAAAUCCAGAUGCAAGCAUUAACAACUUCUUUGCUCCCACAGAUGCUAAUGACCCACUGAGUUCCUCCCCCAUCCAUUAAUACUAAUUCUACACUAAUCCCAUUUUGUUCUCCCCACAUUCCCAUCAAUACCUCCUCUCCAUGUUCCUCUACUCACCUACACACUAGAAACAAUUUGCAGUGGUGCUUCACCAAUCAACCUUGCUUGCACUUGGGAUGUAAGAGGACCUCAAAGUACCUGGGGACUCUAUGUGGUCACAGGGAGACUACUGACAGGAAUUGCUGCAAUUGACUAAAGGAAGGAUAUGGUGCCAGUAAACAUCACUACAUCCUCCAGAUGGGUCAUCAAGCAACUCCUUCAACUUCAUUCACAUUUUCCUCUUAUUUCAGGUGUGGUUCUGCUAUUGUUGGAGCCUGCCAUCUACAUUUUAGAGGUGUGUUUUUGGGCCAAUCAGGUUAUCAGGUGCUUCAUUGUCUCUAAGAGGAGUUUCACAGGGCUAUGGGCAAAGCCUGCAGUAUGGAGGCCAGAAAGCCAGGCGACAGGGCGCGAGCCCAUUAUCAACUUCAACUCUCAACGAUCUCGCAGACUGAAGAGUUGAGGAACAUUGAAAUCAUCGAGGCGGGCACGGACGGCGAGCAAGUGUUCAGCACCAUCUACAAGCCUCUAGCUCACUAUUCUGGGGGAAUGGCGUCUAUGCGUGACGACCUCUCUCUCCUCCUCGAUUGCUGCUCCCGAGAGAUGGUCCUUGCAUUCAACGGAUCUCUCUCUUUCCCUCAGUGCUGUUCGGAUGGUGCUGCCAGAGCAAGGUUUACUUGACAUGAUUUGUGGAUUGUGGACUUUAAUUCACGUGUGAUGUGUUCCUAGUUUUUCUGGCCGUUCCUUUUUAGUUGCUAGUUUGGGUGAUUUUAAAUCAGGGCAAACUGCAGAUAAUGAAUACUGAGCUGAGCUGAACAUGCCUUUUGAUUUUGACUUUUAAAUCUGCGCUUAUUGAUUUUUUUUGUUGCCCUUGGCGUUUGUGUGUUUUUUUUGCCUCUGGUGGGUUUGAUGUUUUAUUUUGAAUGGGUUCCGUGUUUCUUCUUUGCUUCAUGGCUGCCUGUGGGGAAGAUGAAUCGCAGAGUUGCAUACUGCAUACAUAAUUUCAUAAUAAAUUUAUUUUGAAUCUUCUGAAGCUAUUAAGUUAUUUGACAAUUAGUUUGAAUAUUAGUAGGCAAACGUCCUUUUUGUUCAAAGAAGAAAGAGCAAUCCUGCAUUAACUUUGUUUCUGUUCACACUCAGAAUGUGGAUUUCACUGGAAGUGCCAGUGUUUAUGGUCCAACUCUCAUUGCCCCUCUACCAAGUAGCCAAGGACUAAAACAAUUGGCGGA
Molecule: long non-coding RNA, 3509 nt
Organism: Hypanus sabinus (Atlantic stingray)
Lineage: Eukaryota; Metazoa; Chordata; Chondrichthyes; Myliobatiformes; Dasyatidae
Exons: 3
Source: RefSeq, a predicted model, not a curated record